CGUAGCCUACGGGAGGCAGCAGUGGGGAAUAUUGCACAAUGGGCGCAAGCCUGAUGCAGCGACGCCGCGUGCGGGACGACGGCCCUACGGGUUGUAAACCUCUUUUGUCAGGGAGCAACGCCGGCUACGUGUAGCCGGACUGAGAGUACCUGAAGAAAAAGCAUCGGCUAACUCCGUGCCAGCAGCCGCGGUAAUACGGAGGAUGCGAGCGUUAUCCGGAUUUAUUGGGUUUAAAGGGUGCGUAGGCGGAAUGCCAAGUCAGCGGUAAAAUCGCGGGGCUCAACCUCGCUCCGCCGUUGAAACUG
Molecule: ribosomal RNA, 305 nt
Filed under: uncultured bacterium
Lineage: Bacteria
Description: bacterial SSU rRNA
Rfam family: Bacterial small subunit ribosomal RNA
Source: RNAcentral